RNAcentral lists this long non-coding RNA (922 nucleotides) under Mytilus galloprovincialis (Mediterranean mussel). The record is from RNAcentral. Lineage: Eukaryota; Metazoa; Mollusca; Bivalvia; Mytilida; Mytilidae.
GAAAAGUAAUCAAACGAUUCCGGAAAUAACGGAAGUAACUUGCACGAGAGGCACUAUUAUGGGUUUUGUGCACGAGAUGCCCCUGAUAUGGGUUAUCAGCCCGGAUGGGAAAUUAUGGGUGUGUACUUCCGUUCAUUAUACAUAUGCAAAACUAUCAUAUCAAUGCUAAGUAUAUGAUGAUAAGGAAUAAUACAGGUGGAAGUCGAAAUAUUGGGAAUCACAGCAUUUGUAUAAUACUCUAACGUGUGGUAUUGAUUGACUUUAUGCAAAAAAUUGAUUAAGUAAACAGGUUAUUUUUUUGAUUAAGUAAUUAAAGUACAUUAACGUUUUAUAAAUUUAAAAACCGCACAGAGGUGAUACAUGGUGAUAAUUCAAACAGAAAUGAAAUGAAAUAAAACAAGAAUGUGUCCAUAGUACACGGAUGCCCCGCUUGCACUAUCAUUUUCUAUGAUUAGUGGAUCGUGAUUUGGGAUAAAACUCUAAAUUGGCAUUAGAAUGAGAAAGAUCAUAUCAUAGGACACAUGUGUACUAAGUUUCAAGUUGAUUGGACUUCAACUUCAUCAAAAACUACCUUGACCAAAAACUUUAAUCUGAAACUUGCACUAUUAUUUUCUAUGUUCAGUGGAUCGUGAAAUUGGGGUCAGAACUCUAAUUUGACAUUAGAAUUAGAAAGAUCAUAUCAUAAGGAACAUAUAUACUAAGUUUCAGGUUGAUUGGACUUCCAAUUCAUCAAAACUACAUCGAUAAAAAACUUUAACCUGAAACUGGACAGACGAACGAACGAACGAACGGACGAACGGACCCACAGACUAGAAAACAUAAUGCCCUCUACUAUCGUAGGUGGAGCAUAAAAAAAUCUAUCAUUAAUUUUAGAAUAUCAGUUUGAUAUAUAAAAAGGAUGCAAAUUAUCUAAUGUUUUAUA